UUUUAACAGGAGGUUACCAGAAGUCAUAUAACAAUGUAAUACAAGCAGCAUCCGUUGUUGCAGUGGAAGUGGAUGAGACCACUCAAACAAGGCUCAAAUAUCAGCGGCGUUCAGAUGUCAACAAGAGAGCUAAAUUGUGACGUGGUGAGUAAUGACAGAAGUGCACAGCCUGGGAACAUAUCAGAGUAUGUACUAUUUGUAUUACAAAAAUAAAUUGUUUGGAGAAGUUGACAGCACAAACACGUGAUGGAGCUGCAGUGAUGACCUCAGAGCUUAAAGGGGCUGCAGGCCAAAAUCAAAGAGGAAGUGCUUGAAGCCAUAUUAAGGCAUUGCUUUGCGCAUAAAUGGAAUUUGGUGCUUUCACAAUCAGCAAAAUGCAUUCCAGAAUGUACUACUGUUGAAGGGCUCACUGCAAGGCUACCUACCGCACACGUUUACUGGAUGAAGUUGUUUAAAUGCCGCAUCCCGAGAGCCUCAUCUGUCUCAUGGAACUACAGUUAUAGGAGACCGUAUAACAGGCCACAAAACUUUUACCUCCUACCACCACGUCUGUGAAGAGACCUACAGCCGUAACAGAAUGGAACAGAACAGGCAUUCGUCCUUGGCCAUCGACAUCUUUGUCCAGAGAGAUAGGCGCAUGGAGUUCGUCUACAAAUAAAAGAGGCCGUGUCCUCCUGCUAUACAUGCCCAGAGAACAGCGAGGCAGCGCAAGAACAAGCUUCUCCUUGUGCUGGAGCUCCCAGUUGGCUAGAGAAGCAGUUUAUGGUCUACUCUCUCUCUCUUCGUCUCCCCUUCCUCACCCCUCGGAUCUUUCUCAAUGCUCUCCUCACGCUCUCUACUCCUGCUCUCUCGCUACAUAUCUGAUCUGUGCCCCCUGGCCAUGUCCAGCGUCAGACAACGUCUGAUUCAUGCCCUUAGUUGGCUGCCGCGGUCAGCUGACUCUAUAGUACUAUAGGUUUGGGUUUGUUGGAGGAUUGAUUCAGCAUCCUGCCAGGACGCUAAUCAAUUCCAGUGUACUGUAAGUGUGCAUAAAUAAGAACAGUUUAAUAAUUAAAAGUACAAGGCCAAAAGAAGUAUUUUCAUUCCUAUCACAUCCUACUUUAUAGUCUUAUAAUUUAUUUCCGAUACAUUCAGACUCAGUGAGUCAUUCUCUUGUCAAAAUAAGGAUUUUACCUCUCGCUAAUAAAUGUCUUAAAAUGGACAGUCUAAAACAGGGGCUUGAAUUGGUGCCUCUUUUUCUUCCCCCCUCCGCGCCGUACAAAAACACAUUCCAGCUGUCAAAUGUGUUCGUUCAUGUACUUCUAUAUAAAACCGUUUCUGACUACCGGCCUGUCCCCUAAAGCAAUUAUUAUAGGUGAAAG
Molecule: long non-coding RNA, 1361 nt
Organism: Sebastes umbrosus (honeycomb rockfish)
Lineage: Eukaryota; Metazoa; Chordata; Actinopteri; Perciformes; Sebastidae
Exons: 3
Source: RefSeq, a predicted model, not a curated record